RNAcentral lists this ribosomal RNA (253 nucleotides) under uncultured bacterium. Its description in RNAcentral is "partial 16S ribosomal RNA". It matches the Rfam family "Bacterial small subunit ribosomal RNA", at positions 524 to 776 of the family's 1533-position model. The record is from RNAcentral.
CACGGGGGGAGCAAGCGUUGUCCGGAAUCAUUGGGCGUAAAGAGCGUGUAGGCGGCUCGGUAAGUCCGCUGUGAAAGUCCAGGGCUCAACCCUGGAAUGCCGGUGGAAACUGUCGAGCUAGAGUCCGGAAGAGGCGAGUGGAGUUCCUGGUGUAGCGGUGAAAUGCGCAGAUAUCAGGAGGAACACCAAUGGCGAAGGCAGCUCGCUGGGACGGUACUGACGCUGAGACGCGAAAGCGUGGGGAGCAAACAGG